Molecule: ribosomal RNA, 550 nt
Filed under: uncultured bacterium
Lineage: Bacteria
Description: bacterial SSU rRNA
Rfam family: Bacterial small subunit ribosomal RNA
Source: RNAcentral
UAGGGAAUCUUCGGCAAUGGACGGAAGUCUGACCGAGCAACGCCGCGUGAGUGAAGAAGGUUUUCGGAUCGUAAAGCUCUGUUGUAAGAGAAGAACGAGUGUGAGAGUGGAAAGUUCACACUGUGACGGUAUCUUACCAGAAAGGGACGGCUAACUACGUGCCAGCAGCCGCGGUAAUACGUAGGUCCCGAGCGUUGUCCGGAUUUAUUGGGCGUAAAGCGAGCGCAGGCGGUUAGAUAAGUCUGAAGUUAAAGGCUGUGGCUUAACCAUAGUACGCUUUGGAAACUGCUUAACUUGAGUGCAAGAGGGGAGAGUGGAAUUCCAUGUGUAGCGGUGAAAUGCGUAGAUAUAUGGAGGAACACCGGUGGCGAAAGCGGCUCUCUGGCUUGUAACUGACGCUGAGGCUCGAAAGCGUGGGGAGCAAACAGGAUUAGAUACCCUGGUAGUCCACGCCGUAAACGAUGAGUGCUUGGUGUUAGACCCUUUCCGGGGUUUAGUGCCGUAGCUAACGCAUUAAGCACUCCGCCUGGGGAGUACGACCGCAAGGUUG